GAUGAAGAACGUAGCGAAAUGCGAUACUUGGUGUGAAUUGCAGAAUCCCGUGAACCAUCGAGUCUUUGAACGCAAGUUGCGCCCGAAGCCAUUUGGUUGAGGGCACGUCUGCCUGGGCGUCACAUAUCGUUGCCCGAUGCCCAUUGCACUGUGAUAGGAAAUUCUAGGGCGAAAGAUGGCUUCCCGUGAGCGUUGUUGCCUCGCGGUUGGUUGAAAAUUGAGUCCUUGGUAGGGUGUGCCAUGAUAGAUGGUGGUCGAGUUUGCACGAGACCGAUCAUGUGUGCGCUCCCCAAAAUAUGGACUCUUUGACCCCACACGCGUCUUUUGACGCUCAUGACGAGACCUCAGGUCAGGCGGGGCUACCCGCUGAGUUUAAGCAUAUCAAUAAGCGGAGGA
This 396-nucleotide unclassified non-coding RNA is filed under the name soil metagenome. RNAcentral's name for it is "partial contains 5.8S ribosomal RNA, internal transcribed spacer 2, and large subunit ribosomal RNA". The stretch from base 1 to 122 matches the Rfam family "5.8S ribosomal RNA", at positions 35 to 154 of the family's 154-position model. The record is from RNAcentral.